Molecule: small nucleolar RNA, 140 nt
Filed under: Ornithorhynchus anatinus (platypus)
Lineage: Eukaryota; Metazoa; Chordata; Mammalia; Monotremata; Ornithorhynchidae
Source: RNAcentral
GGCCCCUAUCAGGGUCACACCUGGAGAGUUUCCAGUACUCUACCAGUUUCAAAUACAGGGGGGAGAGUCAGGCAGAGGCAUAUCCAUUCCAUUCCUAGCUUGGGCAGUGGCUAGUGAGUGGAAGACAAUCUGCUACAAGU